AGACUUUGAUUAUGGCUCAGGACGAACGCUGGCGGCGUGCUUAACACAUGCAAGUCGAACGGUCUACCUCGACAGAAACCUUCGGGUUGAAGACGAGAUCUAGAUAGUGGCGGACGGGUGAGUAACACGUGAAUAAUCUGUCCUCAAGUCUGGGAUAACCUGGCGAAAGUCGGGCUAAUCCGAGGUAAGCUGAGAGUGUGGCAUCACACAAUCAGAAAAGGUGGCUUUGCCAUCGUUUGAGGAGGAGUUCGCGGUAGAUUAGCUAGCUGGUGAGGUAAUGGCUCACCAGGGCAACAAUCUAUAGCUGGUCUGAGAGGACGAUCAGUCACACUGGAACUGAGACACGGUCCAGACUCCUACGGGAGGCAGCAGUGGGGAAUCUUCCACAAUGGGGCGAAAGCCUGAUGGAGCAACGCCCGCGUGAGUGAAAGAACGG
Molecule: ribosomal RNA, 436 nt
Filed under: uncultured bacterium
Lineage: Bacteria
Description: bacterial SSU rRNA
Rfam family: Bacterial small subunit ribosomal RNA
Source: RNAcentral